Molecule: ribosomal RNA, 433 nt
Filed under: uncultured bacterium
Lineage: Bacteria
Description: partial 16S ribosomal RNA
Rfam family: Bacterial small subunit ribosomal RNA
Source: RNAcentral
AACGAACGCUGGCGGCAUGCCUAACACAUGCAAGUCGAACGAGACCUUCGGGUCUAGUGGCGCACGGGUGCGUAACGCGUGGGAACCUGCCCUUAGGUUCGGAAUAACUCCCCGAAAGGGGUGCUAAUACCGGAUAAUGUCUUCGGACCAAAGAUUUAUCGCCUUUGGAUGGGCCCGCGUUGGAUUAGCUAGUUGGUAGGGUAAAAGCCUACCAAGGCGACGAUCCAUAGCUGGUCUGAGAGGAUGAUCAGCCACACUGGGACUGAGACACGGCCCAGACUCCUACGGGAGGCAGCAGUGGGGAAUAUUGGACAAUGGGCGGAAGCCUGAUCCAGCAAGGCCGCGUGAGUGAUGAAGGCCUUAGGGUUGUAAAGCUCUUUUACCCGGGAUGAUAAUGACAGUACCGGGAGAAUAAGCGCCGGCUAACUCCGUG